This is a non-coding RNA of Jatropha curcas, 3074 nucleotides long. The record is from RefSeq and is a predicted model, not a curated record. NCBI's taxonomy places the organism in Eukaryota, Viridiplantae, Streptophyta, Magnoliopsida, Malpighiales, Euphorbiaceae.
UUUUCUAAUUAAGCUGAAAAAAUUAGCAAAUAAUUUUGAAAAAGCUCUUUCGUAUUGUUUUGCAUUUUAAAGCUGAGACUUUAACAAUCUAUAAGUAAGCUGCAAACUCUAGCUAGCAAGUCAGUACCAGUCUCAAGAGUCCUUUCUUCUUCUUAUAUUUCUUCAAAGUAUAUAACUGAUUUUCUACUUGCGUUUUUUCUAGAGUUUGCUGUAGUAGCAUUUGCAAAAUUUUUUCUUUUCUGAAAUGAAGGUUUAGAAGUGUGAAUUAUUUGAAAUUUUCUGUUUUAUUUUCCUUCUUGGAUAUUCACUUGUUCUCUUGUUUUUGAGCUGACCUGAAACGCUUACUUUAAUUUAAUUUAAUUUUCUUCUUCAAUGAGCUUAUAAUUGCAGGUUAAAGAUAAUGAUUGAUAGUAUUACAUUGAAGUACUUCACUGCAUUCAUUAGAAGAAAUAAUAAUUUUGUUCUGACGACGAAAUUUCAGUUCAGUACAAGGACUGAUCCCUCAAGCUAAUUAAUCUUCUCCAGCAAGGGCCACAGAUCCGUCAAUUUUGGAUGCUUGUAAACAAAAGAUCUGCGAGUAACCAAUUGGUGAAAAAAGCGCAAACAGGAACAGAAGAAGCAAGCAAAGGAAAGAAGAGGGACAAAAAAAGGAGAAAAAUAAAAUCUUUUAAGAGCUUGACACCUGUAACUAUACCCAACAUUGUUUCAGUGGCUGAGGCUGCCAUUGCAGGCUUUGCUUUUUGAGAGUCUUCUGUGCAAACUGCAAAAAGCUUAACCGAGAGAGAAGCUGAGAAGGGUUUUCUCUUUCUAUCUCUCUCUCCUGACUUGGACCGUGAUAUAUCGAAUCGUGAAAAAAGGUCUUUUUAUCACUACAAAGCCAAAGUACUCUUCUGAAUUAUCGUCAUCAAUGCAUAGGACACAGCAACCCCACCUACUGCACUUCUUCUAGCUUCUUCAUUUCUCUCUCUUUCUAUAGAAACCACAACCAUUUUUCAGCUUUAUUCUCGUUAUACUAAGUACGAAAACAUAAGAAAGAGAGCUAGAUAGGAACAAGAAGUAAGCAAAAAGGAAAGGGGAGAAGUGGAGGAGGGUCUUGGCUUUUGAGUUCUCGUUUUGACAAAGGAAUGAAAGUGCUAUGGAGGUGGAGGAGAUUCAGACACAACCCUGUAAAUUCUCUAGAGUUGGUAAUGGCAGAAGUGACACCAGCAGAAUAGCCAAAAAAGGAAGUGGUGACCACCAAUACCCAGAUGACGAAGAAGAUGGAGAGCUCAAAAGGUCUAAUCUUGGCAGUGGAAGUGGAGGUGGUGCCGGUGGUGCAGGAGGCGACUCCGGCAGUGCCAAUCGGUUUCGAGGUUGGCACCCCUCUUCACGCAUAAUUAGGGUUUCUAGAGCAUCCGGUGGAAAAGAUCGGCAUAGCAAGGUGUGGACUUCGAAGGGGUUAAGGGACCGGCGGGUCCGGUUAUCAGUAACCACGGCGAUACAAUUUUACGAUCUCCAAGAUCGGUUGGGUUAUGAUCAGCCAAGUAAAGCGGUAGAAUGGCUGAUUAAAGCAGCUGCAGAUGCAAUAAAUGAGCUCCCUUCGCUUAAUGGUUCUUUCCCUGACACUCCAAAGCAAUUAAGUGAUGAGAAAAGAAACAGUGACGGUACUGAACAGGGAUUUGAUUCAGCUGAUGUAGAGCUUGAAGAUCCAAAAUUUAACCAGAACCAGAGCCAGCAUCUUUCAUUGUCUAAAUCUGCUUGUAGUAGCACUUCAGACACAAGCAAAGGUUCUGGUUUAUCUCUAUCCAGGUCUGAUAUUCGCCGUGUUAAGGCUAGGGAUAGAGCAAGGGAGAGAGCCAAGGAGAAAGAGAAUGAAUCACGCGUUGCACAUCACCAGAAUAUGAACCCAAUUUCUCAAAAUUCUACAUUUACUGAGCUUUUAACUGCGGGGAUUAGUAGCGUGAGCAAUAACAACCAUCACACUGCUGCUACUACUAGUCCUUCUGGUUCUGAGGCCAACUUGUUUCACAAGUCAAGGCAUUGGCCCUUGACCCCAAUGGAUUACUUUGGUACAGGGUUCUUAGGGCCGUCCUUGUCACGGACAGCUCACAAUUCAUCAGGGUUUUCAGGGCAAAUCCAGUUAGGGAAUUCAAUCCCUCAAGCAAUGACAAUGUCAAUCCCGCCAUUUAAUUUCUCAGGGGAGAAUCACCAGGAGCAAUUGCAGCAUUUUCCUUUCGUUUCCGAUCAUUUGAUCCCAGUGGCCACAACACAACCGGGUCCCGGUGGGGACUAUAACCUUAACUUCACUAUUUCUUCAGGCCUUGCUGGUUUCAAUAGGGGGACCCUUCAGUCCAAUUCAUCAUCACCGUCGCUUUUGCCUCACCUCCAGAGGUUUUCUUCUUCUCCUAUAGACGGCUCAACAAACGUACCUUUCUUCAUUGGUGCUGCUGGACCACCGCCACCACCUAUGGAGAAUCAUCAACACCAUCAGUUCCAACCUGGGUUGCAGCUCUGCUAUGGCGAUGGAAGCAGGCAUUCUGACCAGAAAGGCAAAGGAAAGAACUGAUCAUUGCCUUGAAGUGCUCAUUCCUCUUGGUCCAUCUUCUUCCGGGUCAAGUUUUCCAAUUUAAUGGUAAAUUUCUCAUCUGGAAAGAGCUAGUGUGGGAUAGUGUGUGGAGUCAUUCAACCACCUUUUUGUCAAUCGUGUGCCAAUUUUUGCUGCAGUCAAAAGAAAGAUGAGGAUGAUAUUCUGCUGACUAGAGGAAAUUUUAAGUGAACAAGGAGAAAGAGCAGGCAAAGCCAUGAGCAAAUGCAUAUGCCUUCCUAGCUAUGAUUGGGAUGGUAAUAACAUAAAAGUAUUAAGGUUCUGAAAGUGUUGGUGUUAAGAUUUAUCCAUUUUGGAAUCGUUCAGUUCAGCUAAUUGCAUUUCUCAUGUCAGGAGUGCAAUUUUAAUGUAUGCGUGGAUGUGUGUUUUUUGAUGAAAUAUGUCAACAAUUCGAUUGGAAGUUACUCUUUUUCCCAUUGUGUAUGAUUUAUUAUUCUGAAAUUGUCUAUACCAUUUAUUUGUCUCUUCAAUUCAUUUUACCAUUCUCUUA